Long non-coding RNA from Papilio polytes (common Mormon), 963 nucleotides. RefSeq lists it as uncharacterized. The transcript has 2 exons. The record is from RefSeq and is a predicted model, not a curated record. Lineage: Eukaryota; Metazoa; Arthropoda; Insecta; Lepidoptera; Papilionidae.
AAUGAAGCUGCACGGGAACAGCUAGUUUAAAUAUAACGAUUUAACAAAAAUAACCUAACGGCAUAAAAUUAAUUACGUUUUGGCAGUCAGGAGUACCGGUGGUGGUAUAGAAGGCGGGAAAGUUGACGUAACCAGUAAAAAAAAUUAAGAAGAAAAAGUUUGAGAAUCUCUGGAAUUGAGUUUUAUAUACAAAUUUAAGGACAUAUCAUUAUUUGUGUAACGUUUUAGUAUUUUUUUAAUAAUGUUAUUAAUAAAUAAUUUUUUCUUACACUUUUUAGUCAUAAAAAUAUACCUAUGCGCGUAGCAUCAAAGCAAGAACAAAACGUCUCGUGACAUGACAUUACGAACAGCUGUUUUCUGCUUUUCGAAUUUCUUUCUUUUAGAAUAAGUUAAUGAUUUUGUUUUAUUUUUAAAUCUAUUCUUAAACAAAUGAAAAACGUAUCAACAUAUUAAGUGCACGUAUUUUAAUUUCUAAGAAUCUUUCUAUGCGAUAAAUGGACGUGAAGAAAAUCGAUAUUCCUGUCAAGAGAAAGUGAAAUUUUCAUCGUCGAAUAUUGAAAUAAGAUCGAGAAAACGCUUUGAUAUCGUGGAAAUAUAGUUUUAAAACUGCACACGACUACUACGUCCGUGACACGGCUUGCAAAUAGGUGUAACACUACGUCACAUUUAAAAUAAGCUUGGUUUUAGUAUGACAUCAUUCGCGACCCGAUUAUCGAAUAACACGACGAAAGUAAAAAGAGAUAAACAAUCCGAUUAUAAACAUACUAUCUGUGCGCUUCUUAAUUUAGUAGCGUUAUCUGGUUAAGGCCGCCGGCAUUUUGACAUCAAUGUUCAACUUCGAUUAUGAAUUUACCCACUAAUUUAAAAAAAAUGAAUGCGUUUCGUCCUCUUCAUGUGUCAUUACUUAAUUAAUAUGUUAUAAAAAUAAACAUUUGUAUAUAAUGAAUAAAGUAAAUUAAGUCA